GAGACUGUAGAUUACUUUAAAUAAUGAAAUCUUUAAACAAAAAGUGAGUGGAUGUGAAAAUUUUGUCCACAUGAACCCUAUACCCAAGGCUGUCAAAAGCCAUUAUAAAAAACAUGGAUGUGGAAAUUCUAUCAAAGGACCACAUGUUAGGUCCACACAUAUAUUAACAUAUUAACAACACAACAACCAAAAUAAACAUUAUUUUUUAGGGUUUCCAAUUAUAAUUCCUUUAUUCUUUGCAUUUCCUGAAGGCACCCAAGCUCUCUUCUUUGUUGAAACACUUCCAUUAAUCUUUUGUUUUCCUUUGUCUGGUUUUGUUACUGUGCUAACUCCUUCAGCCCCAACA
RNAcentral lists this long non-coding RNA (346 nucleotides) under Ricinus communis (castor bean). Its description in RNAcentral is "long non-coding RNA (RCOM_LNC002434)". Lineage: Eukaryota; Viridiplantae; Streptophyta; Magnoliopsida; Malpighiales; Euphorbiaceae. The record is from RNAcentral.